RNAcentral lists this long non-coding RNA (277 nucleotides) under Vigna radiata. Its description in RNAcentral is "long non-coding RNA (VRAD_LNC010140)". The record is from RNAcentral. Lineage: Eukaryota; Viridiplantae; Streptophyta; Magnoliopsida; Fabales; Fabaceae.
CACUAUCAAAAUCAAAACCUAGAGGCCAGACACUCUUCGAGAGAGAGCAGGGAGGUUCGCACCCUCCAUUCUGACACACACGCCGUCGUCAACCUCCCGGACCGGCCACCGCAACGGUCCUCCCGCUCGGUCCAAGGCGUCACCGGCGACCAAACGCCACCAGAGCCACUGCUGGCCGCAGCACCAAAUCUUCUCUCUCGAUCCCCUUUUGUGUGUGAGAGGAGAACACACACCUUCUACCGCUGCCGACCACCAAUAAACACUCGGAAUGAGCUUA